This 735-nucleotide ribosomal RNA is filed under the name Triticum aestivum (bread wheat). RNAcentral describes it as "partial small subunit ribosomal RNA". Lineage: Eukaryota; Viridiplantae; Streptophyta; Magnoliopsida; Poales; Poaceae. The record is from RNAcentral.
GUCAUCUACACUGAUGAGGAGGCCUAUUGGCGUCUCCGCGGUGCCCAAAAAUGGGUUUUGAAGGGCGACGCGAACACGACCUACUUUCAGGCCAUCGCAAAUGGCCACCGUAGACGCAACACCAUCCCCCUUCUCUGGGAUGGUGCGUCCCUCCUGCAGGACCCCUGUGACAUUUGGGCCCAUGUCGACGGAUUCUAUAGGUCCUUGUUUUCUGCUGGUCCUAGGAGCGGCCUCUCCCUGCCCCCUGAUUGCUGGACUGGCCCCCAGCUGGUCACUGACGCGGAGAACGCGGCCCUUACGGCCCCCUUCUCCGAGGGCAAGGUCUGGGCUGCCAUUCGAGGCAUGAACUCCACCUCGGGUCCGGGUCCUGACGGCCUUUCAGUGAAAUUCUUCCAGACCUUCUGGAACGUGAUUAAAUCGGAGGUCAUGGCCAUCUUCAACAAGUUCUAUGUUGGAUCCAUCGACCUCGGUCGCCUCAACUAUGGGAUCAUCUCGCUCAUCCCGAAGGUGCCAGGCGCCUCCGAGAUCCGCCAGUUUCGUCCAAUCACGGUCAUCAACGUGAUUUUCCGGAUUCUAGCAAAAGGGUACGCCGAUAGGGUGACCCUUCUUGCGGACCAUGUUACCCACCCCAACCAGUCCGCCUUCAUUCAAGGCGGUAUAUCUUGGAUGGGGUGCUUGUUCUUCAUGAAAUCCUCCAUGAGGUUCGAUCUAAACACCUCAAGGAGGUUUUCCUGA